RNAcentral lists this ribosomal RNA (483 nucleotides) under uncultured bacterium. RNAcentral describes it as "partial 16S ribosomal RNA". It matches the Rfam family "Bacterial small subunit ribosomal RNA", at positions 30 to 507 of the family's 1533-position model. The record is from RNAcentral.
UUGAACGCUGGCGGCAGGCCUAACCCCUGCAAGUCGAGCGGUAGAGAGAAGCUUGCUUCUCUUGAGAGCGGCGGACGGGUGAGUAAUGCCUAGGAAUCUGCCUGGUAGUGGGGGAUAACGUUCGGAAACGGACGCUAAUACCGCAUACGUCCUACGGGAGAAAGCAGGGGACCUUCGGGCCUUGCGCUAUCAGAUGAGCCUAGGUCGGAUUAGCUAGUUGGUGGGGUAAUGGCUCACCAAGGCGACGAUCCGUAACUGGUCUGAGAGGAUGAUCAGUCACACUGGAACUGAGACACGGUCCAGACUCCUACGGGAGGCAGCAGUGGGGAAUAUUGGACAAUGGGCGAAAGCCUGAUCCAGCCAUGCCGCGUGUGUGAAGAAGGUCUUCGGAUUGUAAAGCACUUUAAGUUGGGAGGAAGGGCAGUAAAUUAAUACUUUGCUGUUUUGACGUUACCGACAGAAUAAGCACCGGCUAACUCUGUG